GAAAGAAUGGCUGAAUUUUAGGCGGUAAAUUGUAAAUUUACUUAUAGUUAAAUACUUUCUUUCA
RNAcentral lists this transfer RNA (64 nucleotides) under Polytoxus fuscovittatus. Its description in RNAcentral is "tRNA-Tyr". Lineage: Eukaryota; Metazoa; Arthropoda; Insecta; Hemiptera; Reduviidae. The record is from RNAcentral.